This 232-nucleotide ribosomal RNA is filed under the name uncultured bacterium. RNAcentral describes it as "partial 16S ribosomal RNA". It matches the Rfam family "Bacterial small subunit ribosomal RNA", at positions 99 to 334 of the family's 1533-position model. The record is from RNAcentral.
CGGACGGGUGAGUAAUGUAUGGGGAUCUGCCUGAUGGCGGGGGAUAACUACUGGAAACGGUAGCUAAUACCGCAUAAUGUCUACGGACCAAAGCGGGGGACCUCCGGGCCUCGCGCCAUCAGAUGAACCCAUAUGGGAUUAGCUAGUAGGUGAGGUAACGGCUUACCUAGGCGACGAUCCCUAGCUGGUCUGAGAGGAUGACCAGCCACACUGGAACUGAGACACGGUCCAG